CCUACGGUGCGCAGCAGUGAGGAAUAUUGGUCAAUGGACGAGAGUCUGAACCAGCCAAGUAGCGUGAAGGAUGACUGCCCUAUGGGUUGUAAACUUCUUUUAUAUGGGAAUAAAAUGUUCCACGUGUGGGAUUUUGUAUGUACCAUAUGAAUAAGGAUCGGCUAACGCCGUUCCAGCAGCCGCGGUAAUACGGAGGAUCCGAGCGUUAUCCGGAUUUAUUGGGUUUAAAGGGAGAGUAGGUUGAGUGUUAAGUCAGUUGUGAAAGUUUGCGGCUCAACCGUAAAAUUGCAGUUGAAACUGGCAGUCGUGAGUACAGUAGAGGUGGGCGGAAUUCGUGGUGUAGCGGUGAAAUGCUUAGAUAUCACGAAGAACUCCGAUUGCGAAGGCAGCUCACUGGACUGCAACUGACACUGAGGCUCGAAAGUGUGGGUAUCAAACAGGAUUAGAUACCCCAGUAGUC
This 460-nucleotide ribosomal RNA is filed under the name uncultured bacterium. RNAcentral describes it as "partial 16S ribosomal RNA". It matches the Rfam family "Bacterial small subunit ribosomal RNA", at positions 338 to 795 of the family's 1533-position model. The record is from RNAcentral.